This 1490-nucleotide ribosomal RNA is filed under the name uncultured rumen bacterium. Its description in RNAcentral is "bacterial SSU rRNA". It matches the Rfam family "Bacterial small subunit ribosomal RNA". The record is from RNAcentral.
AGAGUUUGAUCAUGGCUCAGGAUGAACGCUGGCGGCGUGCCUAACACAUGCAAGUCGAACGGAACUUUUACGGAACAAGGCUUCGGCCGAGGGAAGUUUAAGUUUAGUGGCGGACGGGUGAGUAACGCGUGAGUAACCUGCCUUUCAGAGGGGGAUAACGUUUGGAAACGAACGCUAAUACCGCAUAACGUAUUGAUGUCGCAUGGCAUUGAUACCAAAGAUUUUAUCGCUGAGAGAUGGACUCGCGUCUGAUUAGAUAGUUGGCGGGGUAACGGCCCACCAAGUCGACGAUCAGUAGCCGGACUGAGAGGUUGAACGGCCACAUUGGGACUGAGACACGGCCCAGACUCCUACGGGAGGCAGCAGUGGGGAAUAUUGCACAAUGGGCGCAAGCCUGAUGCAGCAACGCCGCGUGAGGGAUGACGGUUUUCGGAUUGUAAACCUCUGUCUUUGGUGACGAAGAAGUGACGGUAGCCAAGGAGGAAGCCACGGCUAACUACGUGCCAGCAGCCGCGGUAAUACGUAGGUGGCAAGCGUUAUCCGGAAUUACUGGGUGUAAAGGGAGCGCAGGCGGGAUAGCAAGUCAGCGGUGAAAUGCAUGGGCUCAACCCAUGAACUGCCGUUGAAACUGUUAUUCUUGAGUGGAGUAGAGGCAGGCGGAAUUCCGAGUGUAGCGGUGAAAUGCGUAGAUAUUCGGAGGAACACCAGUGGCGAAGGCGGCCUGCUGGGCUCUAACUGACGCUGAGGCUCGAAAGUGUGGGGAGCAAACAGGAUUAGAUACCCUGGUAGUCCACACCGUAAACGAUGAUUGCUAGGUGUGGGGGGUCUGACCCCCUCCGUGCCGGAGUUAACACAAUAAGCAAUCCACCUGGGGAGUACGGCCGCAAGGUUGAAACUCAAAGGAAUUGACGGGGGCCCGCACAAGCAGUGGAUUAUGUGGUUUAAUUCGAAGCAACGCGAAGAACCUUACCAGGUCUUGACAUCCAACGAAUUCUGUAGAGAUACGGAAGUGCCUUUCGGGGAACGUUGAGACAGGUGGUGCAUGGUUGUCGUCAGCUCGUGUCGUGAGAUGUUGGGUUAAGUGCCAUAACGAGCGCAACCCCUUUCGCCAGUUGCCAUCAGGUGAUGCUGGGCACUCUGGCGACACUGCCACCGUAAGGUGUGAGGAAGGUGGGGAUGACGUCAAAUCAGCACGGCCCUUACGUCCGGGGCUACACACGUGUUACAAUGGGGUAUACAGAGAGCAGGGUGUACGCAAGUGCGUCCGAAUCAAGAAAGUGCCCCUCAGUUCGGAUUGGGGUCUGCAACCCGACCCCAUGAAGCUGGAUUCGCUAGUAAUCGCGCAUCAGCCAUGGCGCGGUGAAUACGUUCCCGGGCCUUGUACACACCGCCCGUCAAGCCAUGAAAGCCGGGGGCGCCUGAAGUCCGUGACCGCGAGGGUCGGCCUAGGGUGAAACCGGUGAUUGGGGCUAAGUCGUAACAAGGUAGCC